This is a non-coding RNA of Vicugna pacos (alpaca), 809 nucleotides long. Lineage: Eukaryota; Metazoa; Chordata; Mammalia; Artiodactyla; Camelidae. The record is from RefSeq and is a predicted model, not a curated record.
GACCCCACAGAGCCUGCAGGAAAGGCCGCAGGCGCCACCCGGGCCGGAGCCCAGCUCCUGCCUUUGCUCACCUGAAAGGCUGGUCCUCGUCCAGGGAGGUCGCUGGAGCGGCCUUUCAGGGCCAAGGCUGUGCCAUCUGGUCAUAGUGAGGGUUCACCAGGAAGAGCUCUGAGCCGCUCUCAGCCUCCUCAUCUGUCAGGUGGGUCCUGGGCCUCGGCCCCUUCUCCCUCCAGGCGCUCUGGAUGGCGGAUGCUGGGGUCGGGGGGGCCUCUCCCCAGGGAGGGGUGUGGGGAGCAGCGCUGUGGGCCUGGCAGCCUGAGGCGGGGCCCUCCAGUGCCUUGCUGACCAGCUCCCUGCUUCUGCAGACAGGAAGGCUGCCAGCCUGAUGUUCACUGUGGCCGCUGGACCACUCCUGCCAACACCUUUAUGGGAACCCAAGAGCCAGGCUAACAGGGCUCGGAAUAUGAAGGCCAAGGUUUACUGUCUGGGUGUAAAAGACUAUCAGAGAGACCAGGUAAUUCAGAACAGCUGGGUCAGAUUGUUACAGGGGAGGCCCAACUGGAUGAGACGCCCGAACCGCUGACGAUGAAGGCUUUCUUACGUCGCUGGUGGGAAAUUCCUGUAAGGGAGGUAUGGGUAGAGACACAUUCCAUGCCUGUGUGGGAGGUACGUGCUGGGGUCACUGUCCUAGGCAGGAUGGUGCUCGGGUAUGUGUGGUGUGAAUGUGCCUGAGUGUGCCUGCUUGUGUGAGUGUGGUGUGAGUGUGUGGGGGGUUGGUAUUGUGUUGUGAUUAGUGUGUACGAGAGUUU